This 402-nucleotide ribosomal RNA is filed under the name uncultured bacterium. RNAcentral's name for it is "bacterial SSU rRNA". It matches the Rfam family "Bacterial small subunit ribosomal RNA", at positions 355 to 774 of the family's 1533-position model. RNAcentral also lists the same sequence under 1 other name. The record is from RNAcentral.
UGGGGAAUCUUCGGCAAUGGGCGCAAGCCUGACCGAGCCAUGCCGCGUGAGCGAUGAAGGCCUUAGGGUUGUAAAGCUCUUUCGCCAGGGAUGAUAAUGACAGUACCUGGUAAAGAAACCCCGGCUAACUCCGUGCCAGCAGCCGCGGUAAUACGGAGGGGGUUAGCGUUGUUCGGAAUUACUGGGCGUAAAGCGCGCGUAGGCGGAUUGGAAAGUUGGGGGUGAAAUCCCGGGGCUCAACCUCGGAACUGCCUCCAAAACUCCCAGUCUUGAGUUCGAGAGAGGUGAGUGGAACUCCGAGUGUAGAGGUGAAAUUCGUAGAUAUUCGGAAGAACACCAGUGGCGAAGGCGGCUCACUGGCUCGAUACUGACGCUGAGGUGCGAAAGUGUGGGGAGCAAACA